CACUCCUACGGGAGGCAGCAGUGGGGAAUAUUGGACAAUGGGCGCAAGCCUGAUCCAGCCAUGCCGCGUGAGUGAUGAAGGCCCUAGGGUUGUAAAGCUCUUUCACCGGUGAAGAUAAUGACGGUAACCGGAGAAGAAGCCCCGGCUAACUUCGUGCCAGCAGCCGCGGUAAUACGAAGGGGGCUAGCGUUGUUCGGAUUUACUGGGCGUAAAGCGCACGUAGGCGGACUAUUAAGUCAGGGGUGAAAUCCCGGGGCUCAACCCCGGAACUGCCUUUGAUACUGGUAGUCUUGAGUUCGAGAGAGGUGAGUGGAAUUCCGAGUGUAGAGGUGAAAUUCGUAGAUAUUCGGAGGAACACCAGUGGCGAAGGCGGCUCACUGGCUCGAUACUGACGCUGAGGUGCGAAAGCGUGGGGAGCAAACAGGAUUAGAAACCCGAGUAGUCCCAUG
RNAcentral lists this ribosomal RNA (449 nucleotides) under uncultured organism. RNAcentral describes it as "partial 16S ribosomal RNA". It matches the Rfam family "Bacterial small subunit ribosomal RNA", at positions 334 to 799 of the family's 1533-position model. The record is from RNAcentral.